RNAcentral lists this long non-coding RNA (592 nucleotides) under Meriones unguiculatus (Mongolian gerbil). Its description in RNAcentral is "lncRNA (ENSMUGG00000004843.1)". Lineage: Eukaryota; Metazoa; Chordata; Mammalia; Rodentia; Muridae. The record is from RNAcentral.
CCGGGGGUUAUUUUUGGUUUGCGUGUGGUGGUGGCUGGGGGUGUCGCAUCUGGGUUUUUCUCUUCCCCUGGCAGAUGGGGCGCCGGCCCUUCCCCCCUCGCCAGGAGAGGGAGCAGACUGCUGGGUCAGGAAUCCAGGGGGGUGACUCAGCACCCAUGGGUGCUGGGGACCUUGCGCUGGGAAACCCUGCUUGUGUUGGGGAUCGGGGGCUCUGUAGGAGGGGCUGGUCCAGGCAGCCCGGUCAGGGCCAGUGCUUUGGUCCCAGCAGCUGCGGCGGCACCAGACGCUUCUUCCAUAUUGCUACAGCCUAAGCAGGCAGGGCCUCAUCCUUUACUGACCAGGAUGGCGGUACUCCACAGGCCUCUCGGCGACACGGCCCUCCACCCCUGUGUCCAGGUGACCUGGCUUUGCCCACCUCCCUGGUUUCCUCACUGGAGCAUCAGAGUGUCCCGUGUCCCUACAACUGCCCACGUCCUUGGUCACCAGGGUGAAUGAUUGCCUCCCAUAACCUCUGACCUUUGGAGUGACACGAUUCCUUGACCAAUGUCCUCAGAAGCAGGCCAGCGCUGGCUCCUCUUGCUUUCACAUUUUC